GAUGAACGCUGGCGGCGUGCCUAAUACAUGCAAGUCGAGCGAACGGACGAGAAGCUUGCUUCUCUGAUGUUAGCGGCGGACGGGUGAGUAACACGUGGAUAACCUACCUAUAAGACUGGGAUAACUUCGGGAAACCGGAGCUAAUACCGGAUAAUAUUUUGAACCGCAUGGUUCAAAAGUGAAAGGCGGUCUUGCUGUCACUUAUAGAUGGAUCCGCGCUGCAUUAGCUAGUUGGUAAGGUAACGGCUUACCAAGGCAACGAUGCAUAGCCGACCUGAGAGGGUGAUCGGCCACACUGGAACUGAGACACGGUCCAGACUCCUACGGGAGGCAGCAGUAGGGAAUCUACCGCAAUGGGCGAAAGCCUGACGGAGCAACGCCGCGUGAGUGAUGAAGGUCUUCGGAUCGUAAAACUCUGUUAUUAGGGAAGAACAUAUGUGUAAGUAACUGUGCACAUCUUGACGGUACCUAAUCAGAAAGCCACGGCUAACUACGUG
This 497-nucleotide ribosomal RNA is filed under the name uncultured bacterium. RNAcentral describes it as "partial 16S ribosomal RNA". It matches the Rfam family "Bacterial small subunit ribosomal RNA", at positions 28 to 507 of the family's 1533-position model. The record is from RNAcentral.